UGGCUCAGGAUGAACGCUAGCGGCAGGCCUAAUACAUGCAAGUCGAACGAGAUUAUCCAGCUUGCUGGAUAUGACAGUGGCGCACGGGUGCGUAACGCGUAUGCAACCUACCUUAAUCAGGGGGAUAGCCCGGAGAAAUUCGGAUUAACACCGCAUAAAAUCACAGUACGGCAUCGUACAAUGAUCAAAUAUUUAUAGGAUUAAGAUGGGCAUGCGUGUCAUUAGUUAGUUGGUGAGGUAACGGCUCACCAAGACCACGAUGACUAGGGGAUCUGAGAGGAUGACCCCCCACACUGGUACUGAGACACGGACCAGACUCCUACGGGAGGCAGCAGUAAGGAAUAUUGGUCAAUGGAGGCAGCUCUGAACCAGCCAUGCCGCGUGUAGGAAGACGGCCCUCUGGGUUGUAAACUACUUUUAUCUAGGAAUAAACCUACUUACGUGUAAGUAGCUGAAUGUACUAGAAGAAUAAGGAUCGGCUAACUCCGUG
Molecule: ribosomal RNA, 490 nt
Filed under: uncultured Pedobacter sp.
Lineage: Bacteria; Pseudomonadati; Bacteroidota; Sphingobacteriia; Sphingobacteriales; Sphingobacteriaceae
Description: bacterial SSU rRNA
Rfam family: Bacterial small subunit ribosomal RNA
Source: RNAcentral